CCACAUCAUGUUGAAAUACUGGUUCCCGUACGAUCACCAGUUAAACAAUGUCAAGCCUGGUCAGUACCUAGAUGGGUGACUGCUUGGGAAUACCCAGGUGCUGUAAG
Acanthosepion pharaonis is the source of this 107-nucleotide non-coding RNA. Lineage: Eukaryota; Metazoa; Mollusca; Cephalopoda; Sepiida; Sepiidae. The record is from the annotation of a GenBank genome assembly.